CUGGCCCUGAAUCAAGGCUGACAGCUUUCUGGUUUCAAAAAGUAGCCUAAAGAGAUGUCUUUCUAUGGUCUGUUGGCCAUUUCAGAACUUGGGCAGUGAAAUGGUCAACUCAUUAGAAAGAAACAGCU
Small nucleolar RNA from Cavia porcellus (domestic guinea pig), 128 nucleotides. The record is from Ensembl. NCBI's taxonomy places the organism in Eukaryota, Metazoa, Chordata, Mammalia, Rodentia, Caviidae.